CUGCCUUUUGAUGCAUCUGACCGAUUACCGAUAGCUCACGCCACCUGACGGAUGACGGAAUAUCUCAAUAGUAAUCUGAUGUACAAGAGAACUGCAAUUCCGGAAUAGAGGAAACUCCUACAAGACUGUGGCCAGUUUAUUAUCAUCGUUUUGCGCUGUUUC
Non-coding RNA from Clostridiales bacterium 41_12_two_minus, 162 nucleotides. NCBI's taxonomy places the organism in Bacteria, Bacillati, Bacillota, Clostridia, Eubacteriales. The record is from Rfam.